This 279-nucleotide ribosomal RNA is filed under the name uncultured bacterium. RNAcentral describes it as "partial 16S ribosomal RNA". It matches the Rfam family "Bacterial small subunit ribosomal RNA", at positions 524 to 796 of the family's 1533-position model. The record is from RNAcentral.
UACGUAGGGCGCAAGCGUUGUCCGGAAUUAUUGGGCGUAAAAGAGCUCGUAGGCGGUUUUGUCGCGUCUGCUGUGAAAAGCCCGGGGCUCAACCCCGGGUCGCAGUGGGUACGGGGCAGACUAGAGUGCAGUAGGGGGAGACUGGAAUUCCUGGUGUAGCGGUGAAAAUGCGCAGAUAUCAGGAGGAACACCGAUGGCGAAGGCAGGGUCUCUGGGCUGUUACUGACGCUGAGGAGCGAAAGCAUGGGGGAGCGAACAGGAUUAGAUACCCCGUAGUCC